RNAcentral lists this ribosomal RNA (430 nucleotides) under uncultured bacterium. RNAcentral describes it as "bacterial SSU rRNA". It matches the Rfam family "Bacterial small subunit ribosomal RNA", at positions 354 to 776 of the family's 1533-position model. RNAcentral also lists the same sequence under 1 other name. The record is from RNAcentral.
GUAGGGAAUCUUCCGCAAUGGGCGAAAGCCUGACGGAGCAACGCCGCGUGAGUGAUGAAGGUCUUCGGAUCGUAAAACUCUGUUAUUAGGGAAGAACAAAUGUGUAAGUAACUAUGCACGUCUUGACGGUACCUAAUCAGAAAGCCACGGCUAACUACGUGCCAGCAGCCGCGGUAAUACGUAGGUGGCAAGCGUUAUCCGGAAUUAUUGGGCGUAAAGCGCGCGUAGGCGGUUUUUUAAGUCUGAUGUGAAAGCCCACGGCUCAACCGUGGAGGGUCAUUGGAAACUGGAAAACUUGAGUGCAGAAGAGGAAAGUGGAAUUCCAUGUGUAGCGGUGAAAUGCGCAGAGAUAUGGAGGAACACCAGUGGCGAAGGCGACUUUCUGGUCUGUAACUGACGCUGAUGUGCGAAAGCGUGGGGAUCAAACAGG